RNAcentral lists this ribosomal RNA (446 nucleotides) under uncultured bacterium. RNAcentral describes it as "partial 16S ribosomal RNA". It matches the Rfam family "Bacterial small subunit ribosomal RNA", at positions 338 to 795 of the family's 1533-position model. The record is from RNAcentral.
CCUACGGGUGGCAGCAGUAGGGAAUUUUCGGCAAUGGGGGGAACCCUGACCGAGCAACGCCGCGUGAACGAAGAAGUUAUUCGUAAUGUAAAGUUCUUUUAACAGGGAAGAAAGAGAAAUUUGACGGUACCUGAAGAAUAAGCUCCGGCUAACUACGUGCCAGCAGCCGAGGUAAUACGUAGGGAGCGAGCGUUAUCCGGAUAAAUUGGGAGUAAAGGUUUCGUUGAUGGCAUAGUUAGUCUUUUUGAAAAAUGCUGGGCUAAACCCAGUAGGGCAAAAGAGACUGAAAAGCUAGAGUAUGACAGAGGCAAGUGGAACUACAUGUGUAGCGGUAGAAUGCGUAAAUAUAUGUAAGAACACCAGUGGCGAAGGCGGCUUGCUGGGUCGAUACUGACAUUGAGGCACGAAAGCGUGGGGAGCAAACAGGAUUAGAUACCCUAGUAGUC